RNAcentral lists this long non-coding RNA (343 nucleotides) under Malus domestica (apple). RNAcentral describes it as "long non-coding RNA (MDOM_LNC007345)". Lineage: Eukaryota; Viridiplantae; Streptophyta; Magnoliopsida; Rosales; Rosaceae. The record is from RNAcentral.
AUGAUCGUCAUCACUAGGACUACUACGUCAUUAUAUCUGCUUCCUUCCUUCCUUCCUCACGCUACUCGAUUCUACUAAUCCCGAUACGCUUUACGACGGCGUUUCGGAUGGCUUCGGUGUGCAUGCACAGCCCCUUCUGCUCAAUCCCCGUCAUGUAGUUCCUCACCUCCUUCCUGAUCAUCUCCUGCAUCAUAUCCAGGAACUCCGAGCUGAAAAACUGCUGAUCGUGCCCCGUCUCGCUGUUCUGGUUGCUCUGACGCGGCGCUGGCGGCAACCCAACCGCCCGCGGUGGAGCUGUUACCUCUGGCGCUUGCUGUACAAUCUGGGCGGGCCCGACAAUCGA